GGCGAAAUCGGUAGACGCAGUUGAUUCAAAAUCAACCGUAGAAAUACGUGCCGGUUCGAGUCCGGCC
RNAcentral lists this transfer RNA (67 nucleotides) under Escherichia coli. Its description in RNAcentral is "tRNA-Leu". It matches the Rfam family "tRNA", at positions 9 to 64 of the family's 71-position model. Rfam says of the family: Transfer RNA (tRNA) molecules are approximately 80 nucleotides in length. Their secondary structure includes four short double-helical elements and three loops (D, anti-codon, and T loops). Further hydrogen bonds mediate the characteristic L-shaped molecular structure. tRNAs have two regions of fundamental functional importance: the anti-codon, which is responsible for specific mRNA codon recognition, and the 3' end, to which the tRNAs corresponding amino acid is attached (by aminoacyl-tRNA synthetases). tRNAs cope with the degeneracy of the genetic code in two manners: having more than one tRNA (with a specific anti-codon) for a particular amino acid; and 'wobble' base-pairing, i.e. permitting non-standard base-pairing at the 3rd anti-codon position. Lineage: Bacteria; Pseudomonadati; Pseudomonadota; Gammaproteobacteria; Enterobacterales; Enterobacteriaceae. RNAcentral also lists the same sequence under 4 other names. The record is from RNAcentral.